Molecule: ribosomal RNA, 497 nt
Filed under: uncultured bacterium
Lineage: Bacteria
Description: partial 16S ribosomal RNA
Rfam family: Bacterial small subunit ribosomal RNA
Source: RNAcentral
GAUGAACGCUGGCGGCGUGCCUAAUACAUGCAAGUCGAGCGAACGGACGAGAAGCUUGCUUCUCUGAUGUUAGCGGCGGACGGGUGAGUAACACGUGGAUAACCUACCUAUAAGACUGGGAUAACUUCGGGAAACCGGAGCUAAUACCGGAUAAUAUUUUGAACCGCAUGGUUCAAAAGUAAAAGACGGUCUUGCUGUCACUUAUAGAUGGAUCCGCGCUGCAUUAGCUAGUUGGUAAGGUAACGGCUUACCAAGGCAACGAUGCAUAGCCGACCUGAGGGGGUGAUCGGCCACACUGGAACUGAGACACGGUCCAGACUCCUACGGGAGGCAGCAGUAGGGAAUCCUCCGCAAUGGGCGAAAGCCUGACGGAGCAACGCCGCGUGAGUGAUGAAGGUCUUCGGAUCGUAAAACUCUGUUAUUAGGGAAGAACAUAUGUGUAAGUAACUGUGCACAUCUUGACGGUACCUAAUCAGAAAGCCACGGCUAACUACGUG